GACGAACGCUGGCGGCGUGCUUAACACAUGCAAGUCGAACGGUAAGGCCCUUCGGGGUACACGAGUGGCGAACGGGUGAGUAACACGUGGGUGAUCUGCCCUGCACUUCGGGAUAAGCCUGGGAAACUGGGUCUAAUACCGGAUAGGACUCCUGCCUGCAUGGGAGGGGGGGGAAAGCUUUUGUGGUGUGGGAUGGGCCCGCGGCCUAUCAGCUUGUUGGGGGGGUGAUGGCCUACCAAGGCGACGACGGGUAGCCGGCCUGCGAGGGUGACCGGCCACACUGAGACUGGGAUACGGCCCAGACUCCUGCGGGAGGCAGCAGUGGGGAAUAUUGCACAAUGGGCGCAAGCCUGAUGCAGCGACGCCGCGUGAGGGAUGACGGCCUUCGGGUUGUAAACCUCUUUCAGCACAGACGAAGCGCAAGUGACGGUAUGUGCAGAAGAAGGACCGGCCAACUACGUGCCAGCCGCCGCCGUAA
RNAcentral lists this ribosomal RNA (478 nucleotides) under uncultured bacterium. Its description in RNAcentral is "partial 16S ribosomal RNA". It matches the Rfam family "Bacterial small subunit ribosomal RNA", at positions 28 to 523 of the family's 1533-position model. The record is from RNAcentral.